RNAcentral lists this ribosomal RNA (497 nucleotides) under uncultured bacterium. Its description in RNAcentral is "partial 16S ribosomal RNA". It matches the Rfam family "Bacterial small subunit ribosomal RNA", at positions 28 to 507 of the family's 1533-position model. The record is from RNAcentral.
GAUGAACGCUGGCGGCGUGCCUAAUACAUGCAAGUCGAGCGAACAGACGAGGAGCUUGCUCCUCUGACGUUAGCGGCGGACGGGUGAGUAACACGUGGGUAACCUACCUAUAAGACUGGGAUAACUUCGGGAAACCGGAGCUAAUACCGGAUAAUAUAUUGAACCGCAUGGUUCAAUAGUGAAAGACGGUUUUGCUGUCACUUAUAGAUGGAUCCGCGCCGCAUUAGCUAGUUGGUAAGGUAACGGCUUACCAAGGCAACGAUGCGUAGCCGACCUGAGAGGGUGAUCGGCCACACUGGAACUAAGACACGGUCCAGACUCCUACGGGAGGCAGCAGUAGGGAAUCUUCCGCAAUGGGCGAAAGCCUGACGGAGCAACGCCGCGUGAGUGAUGAAGGUCUUCGGAUCGUAAAACUCUGUUAUUAGGGAAGAACAAAUGUGUAAGUAACUAUGCACGUCUUGACGGUACCUAAUCAGAAAGCCACGGCUAACUACGUG